UCUGGUUGAUCCUGGCAGAGGUCACUGCUAUCGGUGUUCGUCUAAGCCAUGCGAGUCAUAUGUUCUUCGUGAACAUGGCGUACUGCUCAGUAACACGUGGAUAACCUGCCCUUGGGUUCGGCAUAACCCCGGGAAACUGGGGAUAAUACCGGAUAACGCAUAUAUGCUGGAAUUCUUUAUGCGUAAAAUGGAUUCGUCCGCCCAAGGAUGGGUCUGCGGCCUAUCAGGUAGUAGUGGGUGUAAUGUACCUACUAGCCGACGACGGGUACGGGUUGUGAGAGCAAGAGCCCGGAGAUGGAUUCUGAGACAUGAAUCCAGGCCCUACGGGGCGCAGCAGGCGCGAAAACUUUACAAUGCGGGAAACCGUGAUAAGGGGACACCGAGUGCCAGCAUCACAUGCUGGCUGUCCGGGUGUGUAAAAUACACCUGUUAGCAAGGGCCGGGCAAGACCGGUGCCAGCCGCCGCGGUAACACCGGCGGCCCGAGUGGUGAUCGUGUUUAUUGGGUCUAAAGGGUCCGUAGCCGGUUUGGUCAGUCCUCCGGGAAAUCUGACGGCUUAACCGUUAGGCUUUCGGGGGAUACUGCCAGACUUGGAACCGGGAGAGGUAAGAGGUACUACAGGGGUAGGAGUGAAAUCUUGUAAUCCCUGUGGGACCACCUGUGGCGAAGGCGUCUUACCAGAACGGGUUCGACGGUGAGGGACGAAAGCUGGGGGCACGAACCGGAUUAGAUACCCGGGUAGUCCCAGCCGUAAACGAUGCUUGCUAGGUGUCAGGCAUGGCGCGACCGUGUCUGGUGCCGCAGGGAAGCCGUGAAGCGAGCCACCUGGGAAGUACGGCCGCAAGGCUGAAACUUAAAGGAAUUGGCGGGGGAGCACAACAGCGGGUGAGCCUGCGGUUUAAUUGGACUCAACGCCGGACAACUCACCGGGGGCGACAGCAAUAUGUAGGUCAGGCUGAAGACCUUGCCUGAAUCGCUGAGAGGAGGUGCAUGGCCGUCGCCAGUUCGUACUGUGAAGCAUCCUGUUAAGUCAGGCAACGAGCGAGACCCA
RNAcentral lists this ribosomal RNA (1051 nucleotides) under uncultured archaeon. RNAcentral's name for it is "bacterial SSU rRNA". It matches the Rfam family "Archaeal small subunit ribosomal RNA", at positions 1 to 1054 of the family's 1478-position model. The record is from RNAcentral.